RNAcentral lists this non-coding RNA (85 nucleotides) under Tissierella creatinophila DSM 6911. RNAcentral's name for it is "Bacterial small subunit ribosomal RNA". It matches the Rfam family "Bacterial small subunit ribosomal RNA", at positions 1 to 86 of the family's 1533-position model. Lineage: Bacteria; Bacillati; Bacillota; Tissierellia; Tissierellales; Tissierellaceae. The record is from Rfam by way of RNAcentral.
UUAAAUGAGAGUUUGAUCCUGGCUCAGGACGAACGCUGGCGGCGUGCCUAACACAUGCAAGUCGAGCGAAGUAAUUAUCUUUGAU